Long non-coding RNA from Cyprinus carpio carpio, 1137 nucleotides. The record is from Ensembl. NCBI's taxonomy places the organism in Eukaryota, Metazoa, Chordata, Actinopteri, Cypriniformes, Cyprinidae.
UGCAAGCCCUCCCUAGAACAACUGCGUUUUAUAUACUGUAUUAUAAGUAUCGCUGAGAAAGCCCGUGUAAUGAUUAAUGCAAUGAGAACUACACAAGUGCGUCAGUGCGCGAUGUAGGCGGAGGGAGGUGGUUCCUCGACCCUCGCUGUCAUAGCAACAGCAAAGGUGGAGCGAUAUUUCAACAGAGGGGUUGGAUUGUUUGUUAGUUGAAGUCACGUGACGGGCCGCUGGGGAAUGGGGGCACUUCCUGUUUUACUCCACGGAGACUUGAGACCAGACGCUGUUGUCAGUUUCAACAAAAUGGCUGCUGGAGCGCCACAGACGAAAACCCAGUGAACGCUUCACAUCAGUGCAGUGUCACUUUAAAUGGAUGCAUUGGAAUUUCCCUACCUUCUGAGCGUCGGGACAUUUACUCGCGUGGACUCGUGUACAUACGUAUUAACGAACUAAAGGCAUGCUGAAAUAUUCCCUUUACGCACUUUAUAUAUAUAUCUAUCCAAAAGCAUACAAAAGCUCAAACUGCCAGUGCGCGCGCGUCUGUGUGGGUGUGCGCGUGUGUAGCUGCUCCUAAGGAUCGCCGAGAUGUUACAGCUGAUCAACCUGACGUGCAAAACUGUGGUUUAAUGUCCCUCUCACUGUUUGCACUGGAGCUUUAGAGUUUUUUUCCCUUCUCUCUGGAUAAAUUCCGCUGCAGAUUGAGAGGUGAAUUCCUCAACUGGAAAGUCGGGCUCGCCAUUGCAGCUCAGACUGCGACUGAAUAACAUCUGACCUGUGUCAGGACGGGUAUCGACAACAUCCUCCUCCACCGUGCAGCUCGUGCAUCGCAUUCGAACAGCAGACCGCAGCUGCUCCGUGUGCGAAAUAAAGCCUUGGCACAAAACACGUCACACAAGAGGAGAACCAUUUGAUGGAAGAAAAGAAAAAGAAAAAGCAAGAGGAAAAGAAAAAGAAGGAAGCUGCUCAGAAAAAGGCUGCUGAACAGAAAACCAAAGAUGUCACAUGGACUAUAACAGUGUCCUUACUGUCUUUCUGGGCCUUGAAUGUGUCAGUUGUGUUGCUGUCUAUGGAGGGUCAGAGAGCUCUCGGAUUUCAUCAAAAAUAUCUUAAUAUGUGUUCCGAUGAUGAGUGGAGGUUGUA